GGCACCUUCGGUGUCCGAGUUGUAAUCUCUAGAAGUGUUUUCCGCGUUGGACCGCACACAAGUCUGUUGGAAUACAGCGGCAUAGUGGUGAGACCCCCGUAUAUGGUGCGGACGCCCAACGCUUUGUGAUACACUUUCGAAGAGUCGAGUUGUUUGGGAAUGCAGCUCAAAUUGGGUGGUAAAUUCCAUCUAAAGCUAAAUAUUGGCGAGAGACCGAUAGCGAACAAGUACCGUGAGGGAAAGAUGAAAAGCACUUUGGAAAGAGAGUUAACAGUACGUGAAAUUGUUGGAAGGGAAACGCUUGAAGUCAGACUUGCUUGCCGAGCAAUCGGUUUGCAGGCCAGCAUCAGUUUUCCGGGGUGGAUAAUGGUAGAGAGAAGGUAGCAGUUUCGGCUGUGUUAUAGCUCUUUGCUGGAUACACCUUGGGGGACUGAGGAACGCAGUGUGCCUUACGGCGGAUUUCUCGAGAUCUUCACACUUAGGAUGCUGGUGGAAUGGCUUUAAACGAC
Molecule: ribosomal RNA, 509 nt
Filed under: Rhodotorula taiwanensis
Lineage: Eukaryota; Fungi; Basidiomycota; Microbotryomycetes; Sporidiobolales; Sporidiobolaceae
Description: partial large subunit ribosomal RNA
Rfam family: Eukaryotic large subunit ribosomal RNA
Source: RNAcentral